GACGAACGCUGGCGGCGUGCUUAACACAUGCAAGUCGAGCGGUAAGGCCCUUUCGGGGGUACACGAGCGGCGAACGGGUGAGUAACACGUGGGUGACCUGCCCUCAGCUCUGGGAUAGGCCUGGGAAACCGGGUCUAAUACCGGAUAUGACUCCAUGACGCAUGUUGUGGGGUGGAAAGCCUUGUGCGGCUGAGGAUGGGCCCGCGGCCUAUCAGCUUGUUGGUGGGGUGAUGGCUUACCAAGGCGACGACGGGUAGCCGGCCUGAGAGGGCGACCGGCCACACUGGGACUGAGACACGGCCCAGACUCCUACGGGAGGCAGCAGUGGGGAAUCUUGCGCAAUGGGCGAAAGCCUGACGCAGCGACGCCGCGUGAGGGAUGACGGCCU
RNAcentral lists this ribosomal RNA (388 nucleotides) under uncultured bacterium. RNAcentral describes it as "bacterial SSU rRNA". It matches the Rfam family "Bacterial small subunit ribosomal RNA", at positions 28 to 417 of the family's 1533-position model. The record is from RNAcentral.